This 2896-nucleotide ribosomal RNA is filed under the name Campylobacter coli. RNAcentral's name for it is "bacterial LSU rRNA". It matches the Rfam family "Bacterial large subunit ribosomal RNA". Lineage: Bacteria; Pseudomonadati; Campylobacterota; Epsilonproteobacteria; Campylobacterales; Campylobacteraceae. The record is from RNAcentral.
CUAAGAGCGAAUGGUGGAUGCCUUGACUGGUAAAGGCGAUGAAGGACGUACUAGACUGCGAUAAGCUACGGGGAGCUGUCAAGAAGCUUUGAUCCGUAGAUUUCCGAAUGGGGCAACCCAAUGUAUAGAGAUAUACAUUACCUAUAUAGGAGCGAACGAGGGGAAUUGAAACAUCUUAGUACCCUCAGGAAAAGAAAUCAAUAGAGAUUGCGUCAGUAGCGGCGAGCGAAAGCGCAAGAGGGCAAACCCAGUGCUUGCACUGGGGGUUGUAGGACUGCAAUGUGCAAGAGGUGAGUUUAGCAGAACAUUCUGGAAAGUAUAGCCAUAGAGGGUGAUAGUCCCGUAUGCGAAAAACAAACCUUAGCUAGCAGUAUCCUGAGUAGGGCGGGACACGAGAAAUCCUGUCUGAAGCUGGGUCGACCACGAUCCAACCCUAAAUACUAAUACCAGAUCGAUAGUGCACAAGUACCGUGAGGGAAAGGUGAAAAGAACUGAGGUGAUCAGAGUGAAAUAGAACCUGAAACCAUUUGCUUACAAUCAUUCAGAGCACUAUGUAGCAAUACAGUGUGAUGGACUGCCUUUUGCAUAAUGAGCCUGCGAGUUGUGGUGUCUGGCAAGGUUAAGCAAACGCGAAGCCGUAGCGAAAGCGAGUCUGAAUAGGGCGCUUAGUCAGAUGCUGCAGACCCGAAACGAAGUGAUCUAUCCAUGAGCAAGUUGAAGCUAGUGUAAGAACUAGUGGAGGACUGAACCCAUAGGCGUUGAAAAGCCCCGGGAUGACUUGUGGAUAGGGGUGAAAGGCCAAUCAAACUUCGUGAUAGCUGGUUCUCUCCGAAAUAUAUUUAGGUAUAGCGUUGUGUCGUAAUAUAAGGGGGUAGAGCACUGAAUGGGCUAGGGCAUACACCAAUGUACCAAACCCUAUCAAACUCCGAAUACCUUAUAUGUAAUCACAGCAGUCAGGCGGCGAGUGAUAAAAUCCGUCGUCAAGAGGGAAACAACCCAGACUACCAGCUAAGGUCCCUAAAUCUUACUUAAGUGGAAAACGAUGUGAAGUUACUUAAACAACCAGGAGGUUGGCUUAGAAGCAGCCAUCCUUUAAAGAAAGCGUAAUAGCUCACUGGUCUAGUGAUUUUGCGCGGAAAAUAUAACGGGGCUAAAGUAAGUACCGAAGCUGUAGACUUGACUUUGUCAAGUGGUAGGAGAGCGUUCUAUUUGCGUCGAAGGUAUACCGGUAAGGAGUGCUGGAGCGAAUAGAAGUGAGCAUGCAGGCAUGAGUAGCGAUAAUUAAUGUGAGAAUCAUUAACGCCGUAAACCCAAGGUUUCCUACGCGAUGCUCGUCAUCGUAGGGUUAGUCGGGUCCUAAGUCGAGUCCGAAAGGGGUAGACGAUGGCAAAUUGGUUAAUAUUCCAAUACCAACAUUAGUGUGCGAUGGAAGGACGCUUAGGGCUAAGGGGGCUAGCGGAUGGAAGUGCUAGUCUAAGGUCGUAGGUGCUUAUACAGGCAAAUCCGUAUAAGAAUACACCGAGAACUGAAAGGCUUUUUGAAGUCUUCGGAUGAAUAGAAGAACCCCUGAUGCCGUCGAGCCAAGAAAAGUUUCUAAGUUUAGCUAAUGUUGCCCGUACCGUAAACCGACACAGGUGGGUGGGAUGAGUAUUCUAAGGCGCGUGGAAGAACUCUCUUUAAGGAACUCUGCAAAAUAGCACCGUAUCUUCGGUAUAAGGUGUGGUUCGCUUCGUAUUAGGAUUUACUCCGAAAGCGAAGAAACUUACAACAAAGAGUCCCUCCCGACUGUUUACCAAAAACACAGCACUCUGCUAACUCGUAAGAGGAUGUAUAGGGUGUGACGCCUGCCCGGUGCUCGAAGGUUAAUUGAUGGGGUUAGCAUUAGCGAAGCUCUUGAUCGAAGCCCGAGUAAACGGCGGCCGUAACUAUAACGGUCCUAAGGUAGCGAAAUUCCUUGUCGGUUAAAUACCGACCUGCAUGAAUGGCGUAACGAGAUGGGAGCUGUCUCAAAGAGGGAUCCAGUGAAAUUGUAGUGGAGGUGAAAAUUCCUCCUACCCGCGGCAAGACGGAAAGACCCCGUGGACCUUUACUACAGCUUGACACUGCUACUUGGAUAAGAAUGUGCAGGAUAGGUGGGAGGCUUUGAGUAUAUGACGCCAGUUGUAUAUGAGCCAUUGUUGAGAUACCACUCUUUCUUAUUUGGGUAGCUAACCAGCUUGAGUUAUCCUCAAGUGGGACAAUGUCUGGUGGGUAGUUUGACUGGGGCGGUCGCCUCCCAAAUAAUAACGGAGGCUUACAAAGGUUGGCUCAGAACGGUUGGAAAUCGUUCGUAGAGUAUAAAGGUAUAAGCCAGCUUAACUGCAAGACAUACAAGUCAAGCAGAGACGAAAGUCGGUCUUAGUGAUCCGGUGGUUCUGUGUGGAAGGGCCAUCGCUCAAAGGAUAAAAGGUACCCCGGGGAUAACAGGCUGAUCUCCCCCAAGAGCUCACAUCGACGGGGAGGUUUGGCACCUCGAUGUCGGCUCAUCGCAUCCUGGGGCUGGAGCAGGUCCCAAGGGUAUGGCUGUUCGCCAUUUAAAGCGGUACGCGAGCUGGGUUCAGAACGUCGUGAGACAGUUCGGUCCCUAUCUGCCGUGGGCGUAAGAAGAUUGAAGAGAUUUGACCCUAGUACGAGAGGACCGGGUUGAACAAACCACUGGUGUAGCUGUUGUUCUGCCAAGAGCAUCGCAGCGUAGCUAAGUUUGGAAAGGAUAAACGCUGAAAGCAUCUAAGCGUGAAGCCAACUCUAAGAUGAAUCUUCUCUAAGCUCUCUAGAAGACUACUAGUUUGAUAGGCUGGGUGUGUAAUGGAUGAAAGUCCUUUAGCUGACCAGUACUAAUAGAGCGUUUGGCUUAUCU